This is a long non-coding RNA of Labeo rohita (rohu), 276 nucleotides long. RefSeq lists it as uncharacterized. The transcript has 2 exons. The record is from RefSeq and is a predicted model, not a curated record. Lineage: Eukaryota; Metazoa; Chordata; Actinopteri; Cypriniformes; Cyprinidae.
AAAAGUGAAAGAGAUUUAAGAGCUGCUGUUCAACACGACAGUUCAGGAGAAAUAUAUAGAACGAUCUACAAAUAUAAUAUAAGAAAUCCUUAUGCACACACAGAAGAAGACUGGCUGUAAAAUGAGUCUCUGUGAGGAGAAAGAGGAGAAGGAUGUUGUUCAUGAUCAGAAUAAGACAGCAGCAUCUCCAGGGCCAAGCUGUGUGUCUAUGAGGAGUGAUAGAUCCAUGACAGAACACCGAAACUUCAGUACCGGAUCAGUGAACAUUAACCCCAG